Labrus mixtus (cuckoo wrasse) is the source of this 1458-nucleotide long non-coding RNA. RefSeq lists it as uncharacterized. The transcript is spliced from 3 exons. NCBI's taxonomy places the organism in Eukaryota, Metazoa, Chordata, Actinopteri, Labriformes, Labridae. The record is from RefSeq and is a predicted model, not a curated record.
UGUUUGCUCUUGGAGUCUGAGUCGCCCUCUGUGCUCGAGGCGGUGCUCACCUUGACCCUAUCACUGGUUAAAGCUAACAGACAUGGAAUAGAGAUAAAUAAUGGAUGGCCUAUGGGCUCAACUGGGGGCUGUUUGCUUUCACUGGAGAGGGUAACAAAUGCAUCAAGAGAAUAGAGUGAGAGGAACGUUAUUUUGAGGAGCAUUUUUUCAAUUUAAACGGAUAUUUUUCAAUCACCCUACCCCCCCCCCCCCCCCCCUGAAGUGGAGUGAGUGAUUUCACCCUCUUUAUCAUAUCAUCUGUUCUUCUUCAUCUCGCUUUCUCUUUCAGUUUCUCCUCCGCUUUGCCUCCUCCCUCGUGAAUAAUUUCCCCACCAACCUCUCGCCUCCGCUCUGUGCUCUUUGUCUCUCUCUCUCUCUCUCUCUCCCUCCCUCUUUCUUCUCUCUCUUUCUCCUUCUUUCUUCCCCUCAAUCUUUCUCCUUGUCACUCUCGUUUUUUUACUCCUGCAUCUCAAGAGAGGAAGGCAACAUGCUCUUUUAAAGCCGGUUGUUUUCUUUCUCAUCUUUCUCCGUUUCUCUCCUUCCUCUCCUCCUCCUAUUCUCCGCUCGCAUCCCUGCAAUCAAGACCAACACGCCCCUUCUGCUCAGACUUCCAACCCCCACCUCCGCUUGUGCUCUGAGUGCGCUCUCGAUCGGGGCAGAACGGCUACAGAGGUGGCAGGGGGGGGGGGAGUCAGACAAAACCAGAUGAGAAUUGCCCCUCUAAAGGCGGCGUCGACGUCAGAGAGGGACGCUGUUCACAUCAGCGGAUGCGCGCUCAGACACAAAGACACCUGGCUCCUGCUUAUUUGCAUCCUCUCGCGCUCCCUCUUCCUCCUCGUCUUGCUCCCAGCUCGGAGAGUAAACACACCCACCCACACACAAAAAAAAAAGAAGAGGCAGCUGAAUCCCGUACUGAAUUUUGAUCCUUCUGAAAUUGUCGUCUUGUUGAAGCCACACCCUGAGCUCAUUUUUGUGGGGAUGUUUUUGUGAGUUUAUGCCACAGGUAAUCUUGCACACUUGACAGGAAGCACUUCUUACAGAGAGAUGAAGAAAAUCUGGUCCAAGAAGAGAUUUCAGAGAACUGGGCACUCCACACGGACAUUUGGCAGAUUAACCCAUGUUUUCCGCUCCUGCCGAAAGCAAAGCUAUGGUAAAACCUGCCUGUCUUGAUUCAUCUUUUUCUUUACGUUCCCCUCCCUGACUUCAUCUGUUCAUCCUGCUGAUGUAACGUGAUCGUGCUCUCAAAGGUGUUUAUUUCCAUCUGUAGUUUCUGUUUCAGCCUCUGUUCCCUUUUCCUUUUUCAUCAUCGUCCUCUCAAUCUGUUAUAUUUCAUUUGUCUGCACUGCAACCAGCACCCCAUGUAUUUAUGUUUUCUUUCUGUUUUGAAAUGUUUCACAUUAAAUUAUGAUCAGAAUCAAA